This 347-nucleotide ribosomal RNA is filed under the name uncultured bacterium. RNAcentral describes it as "bacterial SSU rRNA". It matches the Rfam family "Bacterial small subunit ribosomal RNA", at positions 28 to 391 of the family's 1533-position model. The record is from RNAcentral.
GAUGAACGCUGGCGGCGUGCCUAACACAUGCAAGUCGAGCGAUCUUCUUCGGAAGAGAGCGGCGGACGGGUGAGUAACGCGUGGAUAACCUGCCUCAUACACAUGGAUAACAUACCGAAGGUAUGCUAAUACAAGAUGAUAUAAGAGAUUCGCAUGGAUUCUAUCAAAGCUCCGGCGGUAUGAGAUGGACCCGCGUCUGAUUAGCUAGUUGGUAAGGUAAUGGCUUACCAAGGCGACGAUCAGUAGCCGACCUGAGAGGGUAGAUCGGCCACAUUGGAACUGAGACACGGUCCAAAUCCUACGGGAGCAAGCAGUGGGAUAUGCACAAUGGCGAAAGCCUGAUGCAG